RNAcentral lists this transfer RNA (66 nucleotides) under Cheumatopsyche infascia. Its description in RNAcentral is "tRNA-Phe". Lineage: Eukaryota; Metazoa; Arthropoda; Insecta; Trichoptera; Hydropsychidae. The record is from RNAcentral.
AUUUAAAUAACUUAAAAUUUAGAGUGUUAUAUUGAAGAUAUAAAAGUGAUAGUUAAUCUUUAAAUA